GGGCCUGUAGUAUAACGGUAGAAUGCGACAUUCGCAUUGUCGAGAUCCGAGUUCAAUUCUCGGCAGGUCCA
This 71-nucleotide transfer RNA is filed under the name Candidatus Pacearchaeota archaeon. RNAcentral's name for it is "tRNA-Ala". It matches the Rfam family "tRNA". From Rfam's summary of the family: Transfer RNA (tRNA) molecules are approximately 80 nucleotides in length. Their secondary structure includes four short double-helical elements and three loops (D, anti-codon, and T loops). The record is from RNAcentral. Lineage: Archaea; Nanobdellati.